This 116-nucleotide ribosomal RNA is filed under the name Klebsiella pneumoniae. Lineage: Bacteria; Pseudomonadati; Pseudomonadota; Gammaproteobacteria; Enterobacterales; Enterobacteriaceae. The record is from RNAcentral.
CCUGGCGGCACUAGCGCGGUGGUCCCACCUGACCCCAUGCCGAACUCAGAAGUGAAACGCCGUAGCGCCGAUGGUAGUGUGGGGUCUCCCCAUGUGAGAGUAGGGAACGGCCAGUA